RNAcentral lists this ribosomal RNA (497 nucleotides) under uncultured bacterium. RNAcentral's name for it is "partial 16S ribosomal RNA". It matches the Rfam family "Bacterial small subunit ribosomal RNA", at positions 28 to 507 of the family's 1533-position model. The record is from RNAcentral.
GAUGAACGCUGGCGGCGUGCCUAAUACAUGCCAGUCGAGCGAACAGAUGAGGAGCUUGCUCCUCUGACGUUAGCGGCGGACGGGUGAGUAACACGUGGAUAACCUACCUAUAAGACUGGGAUAACUUCGGGAAACCGGAGCUAUUACCGGAUAAUAUAUUGAACCGCAUGGUUCAAUAGUGAAAGACGGUUUUGCUGUCACUUAUAGAUGGAUCCGCGCCGCAUUAGCUAGUUGGUAAGGUAACGGCUUACCAAGGCAACGAUGCGUAGCCGACCUGAGAGGGUGAUCGGCCACACUGGAACUGAGACACGGUCCAGACUCCUACGGGAGGCAGCAGUAGGGAAUCUUCCGCAAUGGGCGAAAGCCUGACGGAGCAACGCCGCGUGAGUGAUGAAGGUCUUCGGAUCGUAAAACUCUGUUAUUAGGGAAGAACAAAUGUGUAAGUAACUAUGCACGUCUUGACGGUACCUAAUCAGAAAGCCACGGCUAACUACGUG